RNAcentral lists this ribosomal RNA (497 nucleotides) under uncultured bacterium. Its description in RNAcentral is "partial 16S ribosomal RNA". It matches the Rfam family "Bacterial small subunit ribosomal RNA", at positions 28 to 507 of the family's 1533-position model. The record is from RNAcentral.
GAUGAACGCUGGCGGCGUGCCUAAUACAUGCAAGUCGAGCGAACAGACGAGGAGCUUGCUCCUCUGACGUUAGCGGCGGACGGGUGAGUAACACGUGGAUCACCUCCCUAUAAGACUGGGAUAACUUCGGGAAACCGGAGCUAAUACCGGAUAAUCUAUUGCACCGCAUGGUUCAAUAGUGAAAGACGGUUUUGCUGUCACUUAUCGAUGGAUCCGCGCCGCAUUAGCUAGUUGGUAAGGUAACGGCUUACCAAGGCAACUAUGCGUAGCCGACCUGAGAGGGUGAUCGGCCACACUGGAACUGAGACACGGUCCAGACUCCUACGGGAGGCAGCAGUAGGGAAUCUUCCGCAAUGGGCGAAAGCUUGACGGAGCAACGCCGCGUGAGUGAUGAAGGUCUUCGGAUCGUAAAACUCUGUUAUUAGGGAAGAACAAAUGUGUAAGUAACUAUGCACGGCUUGACGGUACCUAAUCAGAAAGCCACGGCUAACUACGUG